Molecule: long non-coding RNA, 1926 nt
Filed under: Bos indicus x Bos taurus (hybrid cattle)
Lineage: Eukaryota; Metazoa; Chordata; Mammalia; Artiodactyla; Bovidae
Description: lncRNA (ENSBIXG00005009150.1)
Source: RNAcentral
CCAUUUCCUUCUCCAAUGCAUGAAAGUGAAAAGUGAAAGUGAAGUUGCUCAGUCGUGUCCGACUCUUAGCGACCCCAUGGAUUGCAGCCUAACAGGCUCCUCCGUCCAUGGGAUUUUCCAAGCAAGAGUACUGGAGUGGGGUGCCAUUACCUUCUCCAUCCAUCAGUCUAAGCCCAGAAAAAAUGAAAUACAGAACUUUAUUUGGGACUUCAGUGCAUAGAAAUAAUCUUGACACAUUUCAAUUCAGCUCCUGCCUUUCUCAAGGCUAUUGUCUCCAUCGGAGGAGAGGACUUGAGGUCCCUUCCCCCUUCCCAGAACAUCUCUUGAGGUUUUAUUCUCUCUCCCAGUCAGCAACCAAGGGGAGUAUCCCUUACAAGGAAGGGUCAGGGCACUUUUAAGAGGUGGCAUUUGUCAGCCAAGACAACAUUUUUUUAAUUUUUUACUGAACCUCAGUUUAAGGAAGAGAGUUCCUGGUGGGGUUUCUACUCUAUCCCCUCACCGCCCCCACCCCAGGUCCUACAUGAAGCCAGCUGGCUCUCUAGGGAAAUCUGCACUGUAAUAUCAGUUUACUUCUUAUUGGCCCUUUGAUAGCAGAUAAGGGGCUUUGUGAUGCUCUUGAUCUGAGAUUCCUUUAAAAACCUCAAAUCAGAAAAAAAAAAAAGUAUAUCUUCUCCUCCUGUCGACUUCUCUCUGUGAGUGAAAGGGCACUGAGCAAGGGGUCGGUUUGGGAAACAAUGGCCUUGACCACUGAGCAGUGUUUAGUCCUGAGUGUGCAGGGGGUGUACCUAAAGCUUAAAGUCAUUCUGGUGCCGGUUGUUUCUGGUUGGGCAGGCAGCAGCCUCGCAGCCCAGACGGAGUGAGGGGAAGGGGUGGGGCUGUGCCAGAAGCAGGGGGCGCGGGGCUCCUCUGCUCACCCCCUACAUCAGUGAGACCCGCACUUCGCCCCACGUGUACAUCUCCAUCCCAUUCCGGGGAAGGUGGGGCUAUGGGGGCCGCGGGAACUGGGCGGAGGGCUGCCAGCUCCCGGCAGGCCCCAGCUGCCAGCCAGCCCAAGGGGAGCCCGCCCCCUAGGGGAGGGCGUAGCAAGUGCAGGCUCCUCGGUGCCCCUGCCCCGGCCCCGCCCAAGCACCUGGAGCAGGCAGGUGAGGCCGCUGCCGGGGUCCCCCGGGACCGAAGGGGACUCUUUGGGGGUCCUCGGGGACAAUCACAGGAAGCGAUCCUCCGGAAGAAGCUGGACAGGAGGACUUCUUGAACAAACCUGGGGGUUCUUUCUGGAGGGACACCCCCGCCCCAGGUGUCCAGCGGAGCUUGCGGCGCUCCGGCCCCUGGGGAUCGAUCGGCUGGCUGGCGACGCGCCGCCGCGGCUCCGGAGCCACCGCCCCCUCCCCCACCCUGGCUACGCAGGACGCGGCCUCGGAGCAGCGUCCUGGCGGUUGCGGGCCGCGGCCGGACCCGGCUCCAGGCCAGCCGCGAAGGCGGAGACCGACCGGCUCCUUCCGAUCGCUCCGGCCUCGCCACUCCUGGGUUGGCUGGGACGAUGAGGGGGAGGAGAGCGAGCCCAGCUUCCCCGGCCGCGGCGCUCGCCACCCCACCCCCGCUCCUCCUCCGUCGCCAACUACCCACUCCUGCGCGCGCUUAACCCUCAGCGCGCCGCGAGGCCGGGACGGGGGCGCGCACUGGGCUGGGGGGAGGGUGGGGUAGCAGUUACGCUUCGGCUGACUACAACUUCGGGGUGCGCCUGGAGAUUUUAAUUUCAUUCCGGGGUUUGCUGCAGCAGCUCUUGGUUGGAAAAAGGAAAGAAAGAAAUCUGCCUUGUGUGUGGGCCCCGCAGGGUUUGGGGGGCGCAACGGAAGCACCCGAGAGCAAAACGCAGGGGCGAGUGUAAGUGGGGAGAACCUCGUAGGCACUGGAGACCUGCGGGGAGUC